CUUCUGACACCCAGGCCCGAGAUCUAUCUGCUAGGCCACGCUGCUUCUCGUUGGCACGAUCAACCCGCUGCCGUUACCGCCAAGUAAAGGCUCAGGCCAACGUUAUGUUUCAGGUGCAGAGUAAGAAAUGGCUUCUGCAACCACAAAGGACCAGUUUCCUCCCACAAUUAGAGUCAACCUGAAAACCAAGUAGGCAUCUUGCACUCACUUCUCGACUUCCCCGCCAACACCUGAACAAAUAAGGAGACAGCUGCCUCACUCUCCAACCCAAAGCAGGCCAAGGUGUAACGGAAAGAAGUGAAUCACUUAAGAAAGUUCAAAGCAACCCUUCUCUGAACUAAAGAAAAUCUUGCUACUCUUUACUGGGAAAGAAAAUGGAAACGCCAAAAGUCUCAAAUUGAUGUAUCAGAUUAGUAAAUUCUUUUAAAAGAAAGAAAAUAAUUAUUUCGAGUGUCCUGCACUAUUUUAAAUGAGUUUUCUAGCUACUCCACUUCAAACCCCAACUUAAACCACUACUAUAAUAAAUGAAAAUUAUUCACA
Ornithorhynchus anatinus (platypus) is the source of this 540-nucleotide long non-coding RNA. RefSeq lists it as uncharacterized. The record is from RefSeq and is a predicted model, not a curated record. Lineage: Eukaryota; Metazoa; Chordata; Mammalia; Monotremata; Ornithorhynchidae. The transcript is spliced from 2 exons.